This 1532-nucleotide ribosomal RNA is filed under the name human gut metagenome. RNAcentral's name for it is "bacterial LSU rRNA". It matches the Rfam family "Bacterial large subunit ribosomal RNA", at positions 829 to 2442 of the family's 2925-position model. The record is from RNAcentral.
CCAAUCGAACUCGGAUAUAGCUGGUUCUCUCCGAAAUAGCUUUAGGGCUAGCCUCGUGACAGAUUACUGGAGGUAAAGCACUGAAUGGGCUAGGGGUCGAAAGAUUACUGAACCCUAUCAAACUAAGAAUGCCAGAUAAUCGAUUCACGGGAGUCAGACAGCGUGAGAUAAGUUUCGUUGUCGAAAGGGAAACAGCCCAGACCCACAGCUAAGGUCCCUAAAUACGUUUAAGUGGAAAAGGAUGUGGAGUUGCAUAAACAACCAGGAUGUUGGCUUAGAAGCAGCCAUACAUUAAAAGAGUGCGUAAUAGCUCACUGGUCGAGUGACUCUGCGCCGAAAAUUCAACGGGGCUAAAACGUAUACCGAAGCUUGGGCUUCAAGAGCAAUCUUGAGGGGUAGGAGAGCGUCGAAUGAGAGGAGAAGUCAGAGCGGAAGCGCUGGUGGAUUUCAUUCGAGUGAGAAUGCCGGAAUGAGUAGCGAGAAUUAUGUGAGAAUCAUAAUGGCCGAAAAUCUAAGGUUUCCUGAGGAAGGUUCGUCCGCUCAGGGUAAGCCGGGAGCUAAGGUGAGGCGGAAACGCGUAGCCGAUGCACAUACGGUUGAAAUUCCGUAGCCGCAGAAAUACUUAAGUACAGGGACGCUUUGAAAGUUGUGAAGCCGGGCGAUGGUUGACCCGGUCGAAAGGGACCGAAAAUUAGUAGGGAAGUCACAAUGGACGGAGACAAGAAAAGCUGUAUGAAUGUAUAAUGCGCCCGUACCGCAAACCGACACAGGUAGAUAGGAAGAAGAUUCUAAGGCCAACGGGAGAAGGGUUGUUAAGGAACUCGGCAAGUUGACCCCGUAACUUAGGGAUAAGGGGUACUUGAGAAAUCAAGUCGCAGAGAAUAGGCCCAGGCGACUGUUUAGCAAAAACACAGGUCUCUGCUAAAUCGAAAGAUGACGUAUAGGGGCUGACACCUGCCCGGUGCCGGAAGGUUAAGAGGAGAUGUGAGAGCAUUGAAUUGAAGCCCCGGUAAACGGCGGCCGUAACUAUAACGGUCCUAAGGUAGCGAAAUUCCUUGUCAGGUAAGUUCUGACCCGCACGAAUGGUGUAACGAUCUGGGCACUGUCUCAACAACCCGCCCGGCGAAAUUGUAGUACCGGUGAAGAUGCCGGUUACCCGCGACUAGACGGAAAGACCCCAUGGAGCUUUACUGUAGCCUAAUAUUGGAUUUCGGUAUUUCAUGUACAGGAUAGGUGGGAGACUGGGAAGCAUCGGCGUCAGCUGAUGUGGAGUCGGCCUUGGGAUACCACUCUUGGAGUGCUGGAAUUCUAACCUGCGGCCCUGAAUCGGGUCGGGGGACAUUGUUAGGUGGGCAGUUUGACUGGGGCGGUCGCCUCCAAAAGAGUAACGGAGGCGCUCAAAGGUUCGCUCAGCAUGGAUGGAAACCAUGCAGUAGAGUGUAAACGCAGAAGCGAGCCUAACUGCGAGAAUGACGGUUCGAGCAGUAACGAAAGUUGGAGUUAGUGAUCCGGCGGUAUGUGAGUGGAAAUGC